Molecule: ribosomal RNA, 658 nt
Filed under: Acarospora agostiniana
Lineage: Eukaryota; Fungi; Ascomycota; Lecanoromycetes; Acarosporales; Acarosporaceae
Description: SSU rRNA
Rfam family: Bacterial small subunit ribosomal RNA
Source: RNAcentral
AUAGCGAAAGCUAGUUGUAUUAUUAGUUAAUGCAAGAUCGACUACGUCGACUAAAGUUCUAGGUAGAAUAAUGAUGAUGACAAUUUUUUACCUAUAUGUCUUGACCAAAUCUCGUGCCAGCAGUCGCGGUAAGACGUGGAAGACUAAUGUUAUUCAUCUUAAUUAGGUUUAAAGGGUACCUAGACGGUAUAUCUAGCCCAAAACAGGGUACGGAUUUACUAAAGUUUUAUGUGAGGAGGGGAGUACUCAUGGAGUAAAGAUGAAAUUUUGUUAUACUAUGAGGUAACUGAUGGCGGCGAAAGCAACCUUCUAUGUAUAAACUGACGUUGAGGGACGAAGGCUUGGGUAGCAAAUAGGAUUAAAUACCCUAGUAGUCCAAGCAGACAAUUCUGAAUGCCAUAGAUUAAAUUAUUUUUGAUCUAUAAAUGAAAGUGUAAGCAUUCCACCUUAAGAGUAAUGUGGCAACACAGGAACUGAAAUCAUUAGACCGUUUCUGAAACCAGUAGUGAAGUAUGUUAUUUAAUUUGAUGGUCCACAAAAAACCUUACCACAACUUGAAUAUUUUUAAUUAAUACAAGCGUUGCACGGCUGUCUUCCGUUAAUGUCGUGAGAUUUUGGUUAACUCCAUUAAUUAACGUAAACCCUUACUUUAUUUAUU